GUGGGGAAUAUUGGACAAUGGGCGAAAGCCUGAUCCAGCCAUGCCGCGUGUGUGAAGAAGGUCUUCGGAUUGUAAAGCACUUUAAGUUGGGAGGAAGGGCAGUAAGUUAAUACCUUGCUGUUUUGACGUUACCGACAGAAUAAGCACCGGCUAACUUCGUGCCAGCAGCCACGGUAAUACGAAGGGUGCAAGCGUUAAUCGGAAUUACUGGGCGUAAAGCGCGCGUAGGUGGUUUUGUAAGUUGGAGGUGAAAUCCCCGGGCUCAACCUGGGAACUGCCUCCAAAACUGCAUGACUAGAGUACGGUAGAGGGUAGUGGAAUUUCCUGUGUAGCGGUGAAAUGCGUAGAUAUAGGAAGGAACACCAGUGGCGAAGGCGACUACCUGGACUGAUACUGACACUGAGGUGCGAAAGCGUGGGGAGCAAACAGGAUUAGAUACCCCUGUAGUCC
This 450-nucleotide ribosomal RNA is filed under the name uncultured bacterium. RNAcentral's name for it is "bacterial SSU rRNA". It matches the Rfam family "Bacterial small subunit ribosomal RNA", at positions 354 to 796 of the family's 1533-position model. The record is from RNAcentral.